CUUUGUCUGAUCUUAAUCAGUAUGCAGUAGUGAGUCACACACAUUUGUUGCGUUUGUAGGUAUGCAUUAAGUAUGGUUACUAAUGAAUAUAUUAUAGGAAAUACAAGCUUUAAUGUGUGGAUAGACAGAACUUCGAUGUUGGAGCAUUUCCGUGAUUAGGAAAAGAGUCAUUGUUUAUCAUAAUGAGCUACCAACCUGCUAAAGACUUGGGCAGUGCUGGGAACAGUCAUUAACAGUCUGUUUGAGCAGGGAGACAUUUUGGAGGAGGCCCAGGAAAUACGUGUGCAUCCGAAGCAAGCAAUAGUGCACCGCUCCUUGAGGAAAGGAAGUUUGCAGCCCUCUCUGAACAGCCCUGUGUUGGAAAGAAAGCUGGAAAGCAUCUGGCAUUUGCACCUGAGGAUUCUCAAAGGGGGAUAUGGUCAAUAAAAGACAAAAGGAAGUAAAACAAAAGUCUUCAAAUCUACAAGAAGUUCUCCAUUAGCUGUGUGUUUUUCUCUAAGGAAAUUAUUGCUUUUUAAUCUGCCAUUCAUCUCAUCCACAGAGGAACAAAGUGGAUUUUCAGGUCAGAUACUGCUCUUACAAAUCAAUAAGACGUUGUUGAAAAGUUGGAAUUUGAAAGGUAUGGUAGAAAUUAUAUGUAUGUGACUUCUGUGUAAAUGAUGUACUUAAAUCUGUGCAAUAUUGAGAGAUGUUUGAAUCUGAGUGCGUUCUUGGCUGGACCCUACAAGUGAAAGAAAUGAAGUCACAGAGACUGCUUGUUUUUGUCAAGGAGGUGUGUAAGAUGUUUUUGUUUCAGGCAACUUAUUCCUUGAGGUAAUGAAUAUCAGUGUACAUGAAGAAACUGGGUCAUACUCUAUUAGGUUUUGCAGAAAUAUAAUAAGCAAAAAGUGGAUGUUCUAACAGCCUGUAGAAAUUGAACUGUAAGGCUGGGAGUACUUGGGAUGCAUGAACAAGACUCGGCUGUAUUGUGGGAAUUAACUUUGUAUCCUGAUAAUGCAGAUGCUUUUUUGGAAUUGAUCUGAAAUAUAAAUAAUUGAUUUUUCAAAAGUAAAUCUUCUAAAAAUGAAAGGAAGAAGUCUCCUGUUAAAACUCGACAAGGAAUACAUUAUUUUAAUUGAGCUCCUAAACUGGUAUUUGAGUAAUGGUAGUUAUCACACAUACUCCAAAGACGCUCCAAAGAUGAACUCUAGGCUGGCCAAGAAGGCAUUGGGCCACUUUGUGGCUUUUUUUUCCCCACGCAGUAUAAGCUUCAAAAACUGUCUAUUGCCCCGUUUGACUUUUAUGUGGACUGAGAUGAUGGGAGCUGGCUACUACUAGUCAAGCAUUAAAUGUCCUUCAUUUCUCCUGAUCAUUUGUACUUGUUAGGCCGUAGCCAGCUUGUGAGGUGUUCGGGCUGUGGGGAUAUUUCUAUGCUGUGAUGUUUGUUUCCGUCCUGAUUGAAAAUUACUUUAAUUAAAGCUUGUUCCCUGGUUUUCUGCUCCUCAUAAAUGCAGUGAUUCUGGAGUAGUUUAAUGACAUAUAUUUUGAAAAAUGCUGAUUAUCAAGUCUGAUUUUUCUUUUUGUGCCAAUGUGUUGCUUCUGACAACAUCUUCUGAUUGGAACAAGACUUUGUACAAAAAUGCUUAAGCAGCUGCAUUUUCAUGAAUAUAUUAUUAAUUUCAUUACUUCAUUUAUUCUUCCUGUGAUGAAGACCUGAAACCAGUUUUUAAUCUGAAAUGUAAAACUUAUUGUUUAUAUGUAUAUGUAUAUAUAUUUAUAUACACAUACGCACAUACGCCUAUAUAGAUAUGCUUCUCCAUGCAAAUUUAAGACAAACCUUGACAUUUUAUAUAUAUAUAUUUUUUUUUCUUUUAAUGUCUUGGGCAAUUUGUUAUACAGGAAAUAUGCCAUGAUUCAUCCAUUCUAAUAGACUCCACCUCCAACUAGGGCUGAAUUUUCCGUCUUUUGAAGAAUUUCAUGCCGUUAACAAUGUACAUUUAGACUACGUAAACUUACUUCCUGAGUUUCCUUUCCUUUCCUGGCAGUGCUAAGUUAACAAAGCAAAAGGCUUCAGAACAAAACAUUUUCUUGACUUGGAGGCUCCUUGCAAAUGUUUCAUUCCUCAAACUGAGCUCUUUCCUGCUUAAAACUUUCGUAACUUGUUUGGAACUUAAUGAGCCCCACAUGUCCUGGCUCCCAGCACCAGCCAGCCUGCAGCAGCAGAACAGCCCUCCUGCUCUGCACAGGGUCAUGAAAAAUAUCAGUCUUCCCCAGUACUUUUUUGAAGUCUUUUUAUUUUUUGUUUAUGCUCUGAGGACUCUAUUUGCUGGUCAGCUGACCCCCUAAAUUCAAAACUGAAUUUACGACGCAGAAAAUCUCCCGUGUAGUUAUAAAGACAGCAGACAAAAUAGCACUCCAGUAGUGCUCCAGACUCUCUUGGAUUCUCAUGAAAUAUGAUGCCAAGGCUGAAGUUUUAGACCUGAUAAAAACUGUCCACAGGACUUUUCGAUUGUUCCAGAAAAUCUACUUUCCUUUGCACCAGCACAAUUACAAAGGACAAAGUCACAAGUGUGGCACCCACUGUGAAUGGCAAAGGUUUGGUGGAAGGUGGUUCCUGGCCAGACAGGUUUACAACAAUAAUGUAUAGAAACAGACAAUAACCUAUUUUAAAAUGUGUAUGUGUACAUGUCUAUAUAUGCUCAUUUAUGAACUACUUUGAAGACAUUUCAGAAAUCAUACCAAGGAACAGUAGAGAAGCAGCAAAACCAACUCAUUUGAUAAAGCGAAAGGGAGUGUAAGAUAAGUAAAUGAAAUACCAUGGUAAAAGGAAAAGAAAAACAAUCCCUGAAAUCUCAAAAACAGUGCUGACAUGUAGACUUUUCAUAUGUAUUUUCCAUAUUGAGGUAGAAAUUCAUAUCUAGCUAUGUAGGUAUUCUCUGUUUCUACUCCAGAAGUUGCUCUUAGCAUUUGUAUGCCAUAACAACGCUAUAAGCCACAGGAAGCUCUGAGAUUCACUAAAGUAAUUUAGAAAAAACAAAUUAGCUAAGGGAAUGGUCAAUGGUUUUAAUUACUUUUUUUUUUUUUUUUUUCCCCCAAUUAAAAAGGUAUGGUGAAAUUCAUACUGGGUAGAAAAAAAUGUUUAGCUAAUUGGGAGAGAAGUCUUCCUUCUUGGGAUCUGUUUAACCAGCACAAACCAGAAGCCAAACUAACGCAUGCAAUCCUAUUUCUUUCUAAAUUCGAUCCGUUACAAAAAUGCGUACCUUAAGGGUAAUUCUCUAUGAUUCUUAUGGGAUAACAGAGUGUAUCAGACACUUUCAGUAUUAACAUGAUAUAGCAGGAAAAAAAAAAUGGCUGAAAGAACUGCCUCAGCCAUCAAUUUUGGGAAGCAAAGUCAGAUUGUAUCGGCUGUGAAAUAUGUGCGCUACACUUGCCUUAUGUAGUAUACAGCAUUCAGAAGCAAGGUCCCUUCAAGGAAAAUAUUUGGGACUGUGAGAUAACUUUAAGGGCGUAUGUUUUCAGGCUUGGAUUUAUUUGUCAAUCCCUACAACUGCAAAACUGCAAAAACCAAGUUAUUUACAGCAUGCAGCGGGACAGAGAUGUAAGUAAGCUUGGUGUAUUUCUUACCUAAAUACAUAUCUUUUAUUAAAUAAUUAUUUCAUUUAAAUCUAUAUAUUCUUAUAAUAUGUUAGAAGGAGUUAAGCAUUACCUGGCAUAUCAUUGUGCAUAGCUAGCUGGAAUAUACAUUUGGUUUCUUCAGCUUCUUUCAUCAUUUGCAAAAGAACUGAAUUUCUUCCCUCUGACAAUCAGGAUAGCCACUCAUUGGCUUUUUAUUCACACUGAGGAAAGGACAUUGAUGAAAUCCUAAUUGUUCUAGGUAACAAGCAUGAAGACUGCAUAAUGCUAUAGUAAAGUUAUUUGUCAUCAGAAAGUGGAAAGACAAUGCCUGAGCCUGCUCUGUGAUGAGCAUCAUAAAAUCCCUUCACCUACAAUAGCUGAUAUGCUAAUAACUAUAAAUCUUUAAGAUGAUAAAAAGAAGACUUGUGCAGAUAUAUCAAGAAAAAAUGUUUGACUUUUCUUUCUCACAGUUUGUAAAGAGAUAUUUGCUCUUAUAUUUAAGGCUUUAUUUUUCUUAGUAAUGUAGGUGUCCAGGCAGCUGGGUAGAAUGAACUGAGAGCUCUUUCCUCCCAGGCUUUCAAUAUUUUAAUGUUUAGAAUUUCAGGGAUUCAGAAGCACAGAAAGGGUUUUAAAUGCUCAUGUUUUUCUAACCAGAGUUUAUGCAAAAACUUGUUAGUUUUCUGAAAAGUUAUUGUACACAGGAGUGCACGUGAGAAUUUCUCCUGAGUCUUUAAAUCCCCCUACUAGAGCAGAAGCAGAUAUUGCUUGCAUUUCUACCUUCCUAUUCUUCAAGUUGUAAGUAUAAUCUGUGCAAACUGAUCAAAACAGAACUAGAAAAUUAUUAAUAUAAUAUUAUAUUCCGUUUACACAUUCCAGGUGAUCUUCUGCUUUUAUUUUUAUUAAGUGUAGUCAAAAGAGGAAUGACAUUGACACAUCUCUCAUUUUCUUUCAUCAUUCAUUGUUUCUGCCUCUCUUCUACACUUAUUUUCCUAAAAACCUGUUCCCACCACUACCCAGAAGGUUCAUCACUUGCUAUUUCCCAGAUAUUCCUCCUUGCACUUUGCCACAUGUAGCUGAUGUUCAAAUCCAGCUAGACCAUCCCCUUUCCAAAGAUCCCUUCCUCACUUCUGUGGUCUUGCUUGUGGUCAGAUUUCCAGCAACAGUGGAUUCUUUCCAUCAUUUCCAAUCUCGUAUUAUUUUGGCAUGUAAACAUGCAAAAUAAAGUUGUUAUUAACUUUUUUUUACCCAAGACUUUGGCUUCCUGCUUUGAUUUCGCAGUUAACGCUGUUUCUGUGUUUCCCUCAUUCUCAUUUUAAUCUUUUUUAUGUUAUGCAUAAUAUAGAUUUUACUGUGUAUUUGUAAUGUGUAUGUCUCCCCUUCCACUCUGAUGUUUGCUUUGUUUUGUUUUGCUGCUGUUUUUUUUUAAUGAGUAUGUGGAAGUUAAUGUAUAUAUAUACUUCCAGUUUGGGAAUGUUGGGUUUCAGCACAAUAGUAUGGUGUGUAUCUACUUCUGUUAUUUGUAUGCACAGUGCUCAUGGUUGCAUACGCAGUUGCUGUUGUCAUCAGUAAAAUUCAUUGCUUGUAGGGAGAUGGUGGUUAUUGUCUGGGCAGUCCAAAAUACCAUGAAAGCAAUUUUGCAUAAUGACACAAAGCCACCCGUUAGAAAUGAUAUAUGCCACAUAGCAAGGCAGGCAUACCAACUGGGAGCCUGAGAACUGAAAACUACCAUGAGUUAGUAUAUUUUUUCAAUUUUCAACAAAAAGUAACUUGGUGGAAUUUUUGUUAAGAAGUCUGGAACAAAGAUACCUACUAGCACUUGUCUGUUAACAAAGUCAUGCUGACUUUGUAUGAUUCACAUGAAAAUUUAUAUAGGUCUUUACUUUAAGGCUCACUUUCAGUUUAUUAUACAGAUUUUCUUCCUUUUGGAGUAGUUAUUAUUCUUAUUUUAAAUACACAUUGCAUGGAUUUUGUUUAAAAUAUGUCAGGUUUCCAUGGUUUUACAACGUUAGGUAAAAACCCCAUGUAUUUUGCAAGUAGAUUUUACAGUAGGUUGGUUGUCCUGCAAAAUGCUAACGCUAACAAUGAGAUGUCAGAGACACCUUUUCUCUCCCUCUCUUCUCUCUCUUACUCACCCCUCUAUUUGUGUAUAUAUCAUGGAAACCUGACAAUCUCCAGGGUGCUCAGCUCCAAUAAACUAAUCUCACAAUUCAUGCAUUACAGAAGAUCUGUGAAAAAUAGUUAGCCAGUUUUCUGUUGUGAUGUGGGGGCACCAUAAAUUAAACUUAGGAACUGGAGAAGAGUUAACAAUCAGAUUUGUCAGAGGCAAAGCACCAUGAAGACUCCUUCUCAUUUCAUAAACGUAUAGAUCAUGAGACUAGGUAUAUAGCUUGGUUGAUAUAAAUCAAUCAUUUUGGCCUCAUUUCCACAUGGAUAAGGCUAAGGCUCAUGUAUAUAUAUACACACACAUAUAUAUAUAUAUUCCUUUUUUUCUUUCUGAAAAAAAGACAAAUUCCUCCAUCUGAGUUGUUGCAAUUAUAGUGCAAACACCUCUAUUGUAUUUCAGGGAAACAAAUCAAUUUAUAAAAAUGAUUUUCCCUCAGUUACACUCAAUUUUAGCAAAUGGUACAUAAAUCUGGCACACUUCAUGAGCCAUACACUGAGAAAAGGCUUAUCUCAUUCAUUUAAUCCUAUUAAAAAUGAGGACUUGUGUUCCCCAUGCAUUCAUUGGUGACAGCAGAAUUUGGCCCAGUGGCAGAUGUCUUGGGAGGUGGACUUUACAGGUGCAAUCAAGUCAGUUAAUGUAUCCAGUCCAGGUGAGCCCACAAGUACAGUACUUUCUAUGUCCCUUUCUGCCUACUGGUGCCAAAGAGAGCGCAGCACAUUCCCUAAUGGUACAAACAAAUCAAACCAUCUGACCUGUCAGGUUUUAAUGUACCGAAAUGAAGCUUGAAGCAUAGUUACGAGAACAAUGUCUGCUUGAAGUCCUAGUUAUGGGCCAUAACUGCUUGAAGUCCUAGUUAUGGGCCAUAACCAUGUUGAAUUACUAAUGAGUCAGCUGCUUGUCACGGCUGAGGGCUGUUUGACCUGGGUGGAAAUGAGAAACUGAAUGUGAACAGAACUUAGUUAGAAAGAUAUAAGCUAUAACUUCAAAAAUUAAACCCUUAAAAUAUUAUCAGCUGCAAAUGUGAGACAUGCCUGUGAUCUAGGAGUUUCUAUCUACGAGUCUCCACCAAGGAGUUUCCAAAUUUGAUCUAGAUUCAGUAAUAUACACUCUGGCUGAAAUUAAACCAUUAACUCAUCUAUGCGCAUGGAUACCUCAUUCAGCAGGCUCCUUCCUUAUGCUCCUACCAACAAAGAAGAUGGAGCUUAUUGUCAGCUAUAAAAAAAAGCCAGUGUUAGUCAGCUGAGGGAAGUAUUCUUUGGCAUCCCUAAAUCAACUGAUGUGAUCCCUAAUGAAAAUAAUAAUCAACAGAUGAAGCAUUUUCCUCUGAAAUAUGCCAACGUCUUACUAGCACGGACACCCUAAAGAAAAGACACCUAUGAACAACUAUUACAAAUAGCUGAAAAAUUGCAAAAGUAACUUAUGGAGAUUCAUUACAAAGACCUUUUCACUAAACUUCUUGUUUCUCUAAAAAUUUUACAUGUAC
This 7241-nucleotide long non-coding RNA is filed under the name Gallus gallus (chicken). RNAcentral describes it as "lncRNA (ENSGALG00010009848.1)". Lineage: Eukaryota; Metazoa; Chordata; Aves; Galliformes; Phasianidae. The record is from RNAcentral.